This 10162-nucleotide long non-coding RNA is filed under the name Setaria viridis. RNAcentral describes it as "long non-coding RNA (SVIR_LNC010669)". Lineage: Eukaryota; Viridiplantae; Streptophyta; Magnoliopsida; Poales; Poaceae. The record is from RNAcentral.
GUUCCAGUUCCUCCGCCCGAACCUGCUCUUUCCUGACCCCAAGCUUCCCUUGUAAGACGAAGGUAAGCUGUCGACCCCUUGUCCGCCUCGUUCGACCCUUCUGUUCGUCCGACCCCGGUUCCGUCUCGCCCGACCCUGUCUGUUAUGCCGACCCUUGUCCGCUUCACCCGACCCCUCUUAUCCGCCCGACCCCGGUUCCGUCUCGCCCGACCCUGUCUGUUCCGCCGACCCUUCUCCGCCUCGCCCGAGGGCUCGGCUGUAUCUUUUUCUUCGAACCGAGGGUGUAUGUGUAAAACUUGGGGACCUUUCAGCAUUGAGUCUGAGGACCGCUAGCACACCAAAUCCUCUAGGUUAAGGGUCAGAUCAUAAGUUCCCUCCCUCCGACCCUUACCUCUUGAUCUCCACCAACUCCAUCGAACCUCCCCACCCUCUUGUAACUUGUCGCAAGUUUCUGGGCUCAUACUUGCAAGUGUUGUUGUUGAAAUAACCGUCUAUGCUAACUCUUGCAUUGCAUUCGUGUAGAGCUGCAUCUCGCCGACGGCUACUACGAGCUGCACCCGGCGCCAGAAGACGACGGUGUAGCUGAUGAAACUUGCUAAGGCCCGACAGUGUUGUUGUUGAAAUAACCGUCUAUGAAACUUGCUAAGGCCCGACAAUGGUGGUGUUCGUGAUCAAGUGUUUGAAGGUACUAAUCUCAUACCUAGUAUGGGAUGGGGAAGCCUAGUACCUGAUUGAACUAGGGCGUGGCUUAUACCCCUGCUGUCCCUGGAACGAGGUUCCCAUGGUGCAUCAUGUGGGUGCAAGUGCGGUCACAGUACGGUAGAGGCCGGGACUGUGGAGCAUUGCAUGCCAAGGGAAGUUUGGACCUGACACGCGCCUGGGAAUUGAUGGGGACGGCCGACACAGGAAGCGGCCCUUGUGGUGCGCGGAUGUCGUGAGAUUAGGUUCGCCAUGCAUGGUUAAGAAACUCGAAUCGAUUCGUCUGCCUCUCACAGUUUGAGACUGCUUGAUCGCUAUGUCACCCUGAGUAAGAAGGAAAUAUGAUGAUGACAUGGUCUUGAUGAUGUUAUAUAUAUAUAUACCUUUGGUUGGUUCUAUGAUUGCUUAGAAUAGGUUGCAAAACUUAGACUGGAUAAUGAACUUAGAACCGGAGCUAAAACUUGAAAGUAGGGUACAUCUAGCGCUUUUGGCAAACAAACCCCUCAGCCAAAAAGCCUUGCAUGUCUAGAAGAGGUAGUUAGCGCGCUCCCUGUCGGUUAAGUCUUGUUGAGCUUAGUAGCUCAGCCUUGUUGUGGCUUUCUUUUUCAGGUGAAGUUUCUGCCUCCGAGCCUCCUCCUGCUGGCGCUUGGCCGCCCCAACUCCCUCCGGGUUGGACGGUCGAGUGGGAUCCCUCCUCGGACGGCGAGGAGAGGGAUCAUUGACGUCCCGGUUGGCCUCACCAGGGAUGUCCGACCCCAACGAGUUCGCUUCCGCUAGACGUUUUACCUUCUGUUGUUUUUCUUUUGAACCUUGUAAACUCUGAUGUGUUUUAUGGCCAAACUAAAUGGGUAAUUUUUUUAACUCGGUGGACUUGUUAUAUUCUCUGGAACAACUCACCUUCGUGUGGGUUUUGCUAACUCGAUCCUGUAUAAGUGGUUAAAUCAGAUGAAAUCCGACGGCACUUCGUGUUUACUCGGUUUAGGCAUGAGCAUCGCGUAUCAUGCGGCUAAAUCAUGUUUAACCUAGUAGAUCCGAAGUGGAUCCGCCACAGCUGGUACCAGAGCCGGUUAGCAAUACAGAGAACACAACAAGCCCUAACACACUUCUUUGAAAAGAUAAAAGUUGCAAGAAACUCUUUGAAAAUUGUCUUGUACGAUCAUUAAGGAUGACUUUAGUGCGAGAGGCCCUAGGGGAUUUUGGGGUUGUUUUAGGUGGCUAAUAUUUAUUUGGUUAUCUUGCUAACCCUUCCAGCACUUCGCCACGUUUAUCAUACGUGUGCCGAGUUCCGCAUCACGAGUAUGCGAGGGUUGAUAGGGAGUUCUAUUCAAAGGACCCUAUCAUCGCGGUUGUUUCGCCCACUUCUAUCAUACGUGCGCAGGUUCCGUAUGUAAUCCAUACGAAGGUUGGUACGGUUUGAUUCCAACGAGCCUAUUAGCACGGUUGUUCGCCACGUCUAUGAUACGUGCGCUGAUUCCGCAUCGCGAGUAUGCGAAGGGUUAUACGGUUCCAUUCAAAGGGAACCUAUUUCCACGGUUGAGUGCUGUCCAUGCAGCCUUGAACGCAUGGGUGCCGUUCCUAUAGUGAGCGGUAAUGUUUGGGAACGCUUUCGUGGGUGCUGGCACGAAAGGUUCGUGUGGUGGUGUUUUUCUGCAGGUACACUAACCGCGUUCGCUUAGGAGACGUUGCUAGAACCGACUAGCUAUUAUAGGGAGAGACAUACUGGUUGCCUUGCCACCGGCACUAACCGCGUAAGACCGAGUUUUGGCAGUUGUUUGGGUUGAGAACGAGGUAGGCCGUGCAUGCGACAUAAGCUAAGAAUCUGUUAAGUCACCUCCUCAAAAGCAACCUUGCUCGGAGAAGCUCUUCUUCGAUUCUAAGGAUUUCUAUAUUCUUCCAGCUUGUUCUCGGUUAAAACCGAAUGCUUUCUCUAUCCGACCCCUGACCUUUGGAGUCCAUCUCACGUGGUUUUGGUUUCUUGGUUCCAGAUGGCCGCCCCCGGACAUGUCCUGUAUGGAGCGGAUGGCACCUUCCAUUCAACGUGUCUACACUUCAAGGGCUUUCCUGCGAUCUUGUGGGAUACUUUGAAAUGGUUCGGGUACCAGUCCCCACCAUUGUAUGCAGGACGACUGUACCUGGAGUGAGGCGUCCAAACAUGCAACGUACAGGCGGUAGUACCUCCUCCUCCUGUGCGGCCCGACUGGCCCUCGUUCGGGAUAUCAGCAUACGGUCUUGCCCCGGAAGACACCUGGGAGUCCGCCACUCUUCAGCUCCUUACUCAAUUCUGUCAGCUGCACCCACUAGAGGUCACCCUAGACCCCAUCGGCCUGUUCCCCGCCAGGAACCGGUUGGACCCGGCGUGGCUCGACCGCGUCAGCAAUAUCGAGGUGCUGGCCACCACCUACUCUAUGGUCACCAUCUCCACCAACAUCCGGUGUAUGUCAGCCCUCUAUCGGCUGAUCGAGCUCCAAGGACGAGCCAUGUCUAUCCUUGCUUGGACCGCCAUGGAUGCCCAAGGACACCUCUAGGCCGCCAGAAGAGACCUGGUAGGCCAAACAUAUCAGCUUAUCCAGCGAGGCGUUCAGAUCCACGACAUGCAGGACAGAAUCUCUGAGCUCGAAGGAGAAGUAGCCGAUUUGGUGGACGGCAUGAUCCAGCUAUCGGAGGAGAAGAUCGAAGUGGAAAUGGAGCUGGCGGUUGCCAAUGCUCAUCUGGACGAGCAUCACGCCGAGCUCGAUGAUAUGCACGCCCUCCAGAUGCAACUAGAAGCUCAAGAGGACCCCGAGGAGGUUGAGGAAGUGUCCAGUAUGGACAUUGAAGAGGAUAACACCCCUUCUCCUACUCAUAGUGUUCAUUUGUAGAUGGAGAGUUGCAAGGAACCCAUUCUUUUGUUGUACUCCUCAGCAGCCUAAAUUUUGGAAAGAUCUGUAAUAGGUUAGCCUUGAGUCGAGUACUCCCUGUGUUUGGAACACCUCUGUAAAAAGAUCCCAAUGAAAUCAAAUCCUGAGUCUGACCUUUAACUCUUUACAAAAUGUUGGAAUGUUAGACUAAGUGAGUUGUGCUGUGACCACACACGCUGUUUUCUGUGGGUCUGUUCAAGUUGGCCGACCCCGGUUCGCGAGAUCGGAUGCGCCCGACCUUUCGAGGCAGCCUCCGCCUCGCCCGACCCCUUUUUGUGUGGAUCGUUGCCGACCCCUUGGCUUAAGUUCCGGAAUAAGAAAAUUCCAAGAGUCUGGGUAUGGAUCGCCCGAAGUUGAGUACGAGGCUAAGAUAAAUGCUAACUAACAUGACAAUGAGAAGAGUGUACCUCCCUUAUGAGGACGUGUGUUGCAUUAUCGGCAAGAGUUGCAUCGGAGAACUUGACUUAUGCGUUUCCAUCUGUUGGAGUACUUCUAAGAUUAUGAAUUAAAUGGAACGUUAACUCUUGCAGAUGGCGCAUCGCACUAGAUCUGGUUCUGUGCCCGGCAGCAGCGAGCAAAGACAAGAUCUUCCCCCACCCCCGCCCUCAUCUCCACUAGAGGCAAUCUUAGCGGCUCAAACCGAGCUGCUGAGACAUCUUGUACAAGGGCAAUAGCAGCAGCCCCAUGGGGGAAGGGCUCAGCAGCAGCCUCAUGUUGUUCGCUAUGAGGACUUCUUGGGGACGCAGCCCCCUUUGUUCCAGAAGACACAAGACCCGCUCGACGCCGACGCCUGGGUUCGUACGAUUGAAUCCAAGUUCGAGCUUCUCACCGUCCCGUGCCCCGACCAUAACAAGGCCCGGUUUGCAGCUCAACAGCUGCGUGGUUCCGCCCGACUCUGGUGGGACCACUACCAUGCUAUGUUGCCGGCCGGCCAUGUGGUCAGCUGGAAUGAGUUCAAGACCGCGUUUAGAGUGCAUCACAUUCCGGAAGGUCUCCUAGAGCGCAAGCUCAACGAGUUCUUGGCUCUUACCCAGGCAAACCAACAUGUCCUGCACUAUGCCCAAGCUUUCAAUGAUCUAUGCCGUUAUGCCGGCUAUCAUGCGGACACAGACGAGAAGAAGCGGGACAGAUUCUGCCGAGGACUAAGUUUGGAGCUCAGAGAGAGGUUGAACCCCAUCAAGGUGGAUUGCAUGCAGGCUCUCAAAGCCGACCAGAAGAGGAAGGCCUCCGUGGCAUUUUUGAGCCAGCCAACUCGAAGGUUCAGGAUGGUUCCUCCACAAGCUCCCAGCCGACCCCAGCAGUCGGGAAGGUGGAUUGCCCGACCCCCACCAGCAGCAGAACCUGCCGCCACCCCGCCCUGCAACUGGUAACCGCUGCUUCACCUGCGGCAAUGAAGGGCAUUUCGCCAAGGACUGCCCUAGAAAUCAGAGCCCGCGCCCAGGGCAGAGCAAUGCAACACCCAACCAAGGAAAGAGGCCCAAGGUGCAAGUUCGCCAAGGACGACUGAACUUCACCCACGCAGCAGAGCUUCCCGAAGGUGCGCUGAUAAUGACGGGUACCUUUCUAAUUCAUAGCUUUUCAGCUUUGGUUUUGUUUGACUCGGGAGCUUCACAUAGUUUUAUCGGGAGAAAGACCCAUGACAAUUGUGGGUUACAAGAAUGCCAAACCAGAGGGGCUUUUAGAAUAUCCACCCCGGGUGGAAUGAUCACAUCUGAUAGGAUAAGUGUCAAUGUGCCUAUUCAGCUAGGCCAAAACCUUUUUAAGGAGAAUCUUAUCAUCCUUGACCUGGACGGAAUAGAUAUCAUUCUUGGAAUGGAUUGGAUGACCCGGCACCAAGUGGUCCUAGACCCAGCCGCCCGAACCCUCCACAUCAACUCGCCCUUUUAUGGCAGUUCUACCCUGUUCUUGAACCCUCCUAAAUCCGCACUUCCUUGUGCGUAUCCUCUAUCGGAAGCCCGGCUAGAAAGCCUCCCUGUUGUCUGUGAGUACCCGGAUGUGUUCCCAGAGGACUUGCCCGGCAUGCCGCCCAAUAGAGAUGUGGAGUUUUCCAUAGAGUUGAUCCCCACCACCGCUCCGAUAUCCAAGAGACCCUAUCGGAUGCCGCCUGCUGAGUUGGCCGAGUUGAAGACCCAGUUGCAUGAUCUGUUGGAAAAGGGCUUCAUCCGACCUAGCACAUCACCUUGGGGUUGCCCCGCCCUGUUUGUGAAGAAGAAGGAUGGGAGUCUACGCAUGUGUGUGGACUACCGACCCCUCAAUGCGGUGACUGUUAAGAACAAGUACCCACUUCCACGCAUCGAUGUCUUGUUUGAUCAGUUAGCUGGAGCAAAAGUGUUCUCCAAGAUCGAUCUUCGUUCAGGUUAUCACCAAAUCAAGAUCCGACCAUGCGACAUAUCCAAAACAGCCUUCUCCACAAGAUAUGGACUCUACGAGUACCUGGUCAUGUCUUUUGGACUCACCAAUACACCCGCAUACUUCAUGUACCUCAUGAACUCGGUAUUCAUGUCCGAGUUGGACAAGUUUGUAGUGGUGUUCAUUGAUGAUAUCCUGGUGUACUCGAAGAGCGAAGAAGAACAUGCCAACCAUCUUCGCAUAGUUCUCCAACGGCUAAGAGACCAUCGGCUCUAUGCCAAGUUCUCCAAGUGUGAGUUAUUGUUAGAUAGUGUCAAGUUUUUGGGACACACUAUCUCCAAGGAUGGCAUAGCCAUCGACCCCAGCAAGGUACAGGAAGUCAUGGACUGGAAGCCUCCCGCCUCCGUGCACCAGAUCCGAAGUUUCCUUGGACUGGCAGGCUACUAUCGGCGUUUCAUACCGGAUUUCUCCAAGAUAGCUAAGCCGAUGACAGAACUGCUGAAGAAGGAGGUCAGAUUCAUGUGGGACAACAAAUGUGAAGAAGCCUUCAAAACCUUAAAGCGCUUGCUGACCACAGCCCCAGUUUUGGCUCAACCCGACCCCUCUAGGCCGUUUGACGUGUACUGUGACGCCUCUGGCACUGGACUUGGGUGUGUUCUUAUGCAAGACAACCGAGUCAUUGCCUAUGCCUCACGGGCGUUACGACCUCAUGAGCUGAACUACCCAACGCAUGAUCUUGAGUUGGCAGCAGUGAUUCAUGCCUUAAAGAUAUGGAGACACUAUCUGAUGGGCACCCACUGCAACAUCUACACCGACCAAAAAAGCCUCAAGUACCUCUUCACUCAAGCCGACCUCAACAUGCGCCAAAGGAGAUGGUUGGAGUUGAUAAAAGACUAUGAUUUGGAAGUUCACUAUCAUCCCGGCAAGGCCAAUGUGGUGGCCGAUGCUCUUAGCCGCAAGCCCUGUUGCAACUGCUUGUUGGCAACAACCUUCACCGAAACCUUGUGUCAUGAGAUGGGAAAACUCAGUUUGGAAAUUGUUCCCCAUGGAACCCUCGGCCACAUAGCUCUUGAGUCUGUUUUGAAGGACCAAAUAAGGUCAGCACAGCUAGAGGAUGCGGAAGUGAGACGAAUCAAACUGAAGAUUUCAUUGAAGGAUGAAGGGUAUAAGCAUUUCCGACAGGAUGAGACUGGGAAGGUGUAUUAUGGAAACCGGCUUGUUGUACCAUCCGACCCCAACCUUAAGAAGCAGAUACUAGAUGAAGCUCAUCUCUCAAGGUUCUCAAUCCAUCCUGGUAGCAAUAAGAUGUACCAUGAUCUCCGUCAAACCUUCUAGUGGAGUGGAAUCAAGCCGGAAAUUGCCCGGUAUGUUUCAGAAUGUGACACCUGUCAACGUGUCAAAGCCAGUCAUCUAAAGGUAGCAGGUACCCUGCAGCCCCUACCUAUUCCCUCUUGGAAAUGGGAAGACAUCAGCAUGGACUUCAUAGUUGGACUGCCCCUUACAUCACAGCGACAUGACUCCAUCUGUGUUAUAGUGGACCGCCUGACCAAGUCUGCCCACUUCCUUCCUGUCCGCACCACCUACACUGUCAAGCAGUAUGCAGAGUUGUACCUCGACCGCAUAGUUUCCCUACACGGUGUACCUAAGACCAUCAUCUAUGAUUGAGGAAUUCAGUUCGUAGCACACUUUUGGGAACAGCUACAAGCAUCAAUGGGCACCAAGCUCAUCCGUAGCUCAACCUAUCAUCCUCAAACCGAUGGUCAAACCGAAAGAGUCAAUCAGAUCCUUGAAGACAUGUUGAGAGCUUGUGUCAUCCAUUAUGACAAAAAUUGGGACAAGUGCUUGCCCUUGGCAGAAUUCUCCUACAACAAUAGCUACCAGGCCAGUUUGAAGAUGGCACCGUUUGAAGCCUUAUAUGGCCGGAGAUGUCGGACACCUUUGAAUUGGUCACAAACUGGAGAAAGAUAGAUCUAUGACCCUGACUUAGUGGUAGAAGCCGAAGAACAAGUAAAGGUGAUUCAAGCAAAUCUCAAGGCUGCCCAAUCUCGACAGAAGAGUUAUUCCGACAGGCGAAGAAGGCCCCUACAGUUUGACAUUGGUGAUCAUGUGUAUCUACGAGUUUCCCCAACCAAAGGAGUGCAACAGUUUGGAGUGAAAGGAAAGUUGGCUCCCCGCUACAUUGGCCCUUAUGAGAUUGUGGAGAUCUGUGGACCCGUUGCUUACCGGAUCCAACUCCUGGAAAAUCUCUCGGCCAUACACGAUGUUUUCCAUGUGUCUCAACUGAAGAAAUGUGUCCAAGUCCCAACUGAGAUCUUAGAGCAAGAGCAGCUUCAGAUCGAGCCCGACCUAACCUAUGCCGAGUACCCAGACAGAGUUCUUGACCAUAAGGAGAGGCGCACCCGGCGCCAAGUGGUUAAAAUGUACAAGAUCUUAUGGAACAACCACACAAAAGAUGAAGCAACAUGGGAAACAGAUGAGUAUUUGAACAAGCACUUCCCAGGUUUUCUGUCUCGUCAAGGAGGUAAGGACUGCACACCUUACUCUUACACCUGAAUCUCGGGACGAGAUUCUUUUUAAGAGGGGUAGGCUGUGACGACCGACCCCGAAUCUCUCGAGUUAAUCUUAAUCAAAGUCCCUAAUCACGUCUCAGCUUUACCGAGUUUAAGUACUCAACCUCCAGUCCGGUCCCAACCCCUGAGACCCGACCCCUCUCCGCUGGCCUCCAGUUCCGACCCCGCCCACCCCAACUCACCCGCCGGAUCCUUCUAAGUCUUCCCCCAACACCUCCCUUCAAUCUGACCGGUGGGCCCACAAGAUCUUUUCCCUCAGAUCUCCCAUGACAGGCGCACUCGAGUUGCAUGCCCGCUUCAGAGUUCCCCCGCCGUGUGGCUCAACUCCUCCGACGUUCGCCGCUCCGCCUCGUCUUCAGCCCGCGACCGGAUGGAUUCUCGCUCCCCCUUCCCCAAUCGCAGCGGAAGCCCCUCUGCAACCCUUUCUGCAGCACCUCGCCGCCCGCGCCCAUCAUCAUAUCGCUAGAUCCCGGCCGUAGAGCCCGAUGCCGCCCAUCUUUUCCGUCACCUCGCCACAGUCGCGCCGCCCGAUCUUCGCUACACGACAAUUCCUCCUCCGCCAACCCAGACCGCGCCAGCGACAGCUCCUUUUCCCGCCCUGUCAGAAGCCGCCCCGACAAUAUGUUGCUCCGCGCUCGCCCACGCACCCGCAGCCACCUGUCUUCUCACCUGUGCGCCCUCGAUCCUAGUGCCGUUUUCCCGGUCACUUCCAUCAGCUCCACCGCACGACGACGCCCGCCUCCGCCAAAUCUCAACCACCGGCAAACCCGCGCCUGCGCCGCCCUGACGCCAGUGCCCAAUGACCGCCGGCGUCAUCCCCGGAGUCCUGCUCCACCGCCCUCGUCGCUCAAUCACCGCCCGUGCAGAGCACUCCAUUGCUUCUUCCCCGGCCUUCGCGCCGCUCCCCUUCUUCCUCCUGCGCCACUAUAAAAGGGAAUGCGCAAGCCCCGCCGGAGUUUCCCUUGCCCUAGCUGCCAUCUCUCUUGCUCCCUGUUCGAGCUCACAGCGCCCCACACUAAGUCCCUGAGGAACUCUCCUCUCCGCUCCGCACCGCUUUCCCCAAUCCACCCAGCCGCUUGCUCCUCCGUGCUGCGUAAGAGCUUACUUGUGAUCCACAAGAAGCACCGCCGCUGCCGGAGCACCGCCGGACAUCUCCGUGGCAAGUCUUAGUGUUCCAGUUCCUGCGCCCGAACCUGCUCUUUCCCGACCCCAAGCUUCCCUUGUAAGACGAAGGUAAGCUUCCGACCCCUUGGCCGCCUCGUCCGACCCUUCUGUUCGUCCGACCCCGGUUCCAUCUCGCCCGACCCUGUCUGUUCUGCCGACCCUUGUCCGCUUCACCUGACCCCUCUUAUCCGCCCGACCCCGGUUCCGUCUCGCCCGACCCUGUCUGUUUCGCCGACCCUUCUCCGCCUCGUCCGAGGGCUCUGCUGUAUCUUUUUCUUCGAACCGAGGGUGUAUGUGUAAAACUUGGGGACCUUUCAGCAUUGAGUCUGAGGACCCCUAGCACACCAAAUCCUCUAGGUUAAGGGUCAGAUCAUAAGUUCCCUCCCUCCGACCCUUACCUCUUGAUCUCCACCAACUCCAUUGAACCUCCCCACCCUCUUGUAACUUGUCGCAAGUUUUUGGGCUCAUACUUGCAAGUGUUGC